UUGAACGCUGGCGGCAGGCCUAACACAUGCAAGUCGAGCGGAUGAAGGGAGCUUGCUCCUGGAUUUAGCGGCGGACGGGUGAGUAAUGCCUAGGAAUCUGCCUGGUAGUGGGGGAUAACGUCCGGAAACGGGCGCUAAUACCGCAUACGUCCUGAGGGAGAAAGUGGGGGAUCUUCGGACCUCACGCUAUCAGAUGAGCCUAGGUCGGAUUAGCUAGUUGGUGGGGUAAAGGCCUACCAAGGCGACGAUCCGUAACUGGUCUGAGAGGAUGAUCAGUCACACUGGAACUGAGACACGGUCCAGACUCCUACGGGAGGCAGCAGUGGGGAAUAUUGGACAAUGGGCGAAAGCCUGAUCCAGCCAUGCCGCGUGUGUGAAGAAGGUCUUCGGAUUGUAAAGCACUUUAAGUUGGGAGGAAGGGCAGUAAGUUAAUACCUUGCUGUUUUGACGUUACCAACAGAAUAAGCACCGGCUAACUUCGUG
RNAcentral lists this ribosomal RNA (483 nucleotides) under uncultured bacterium. RNAcentral describes it as "partial 16S ribosomal RNA". It matches the Rfam family "Bacterial small subunit ribosomal RNA", at positions 30 to 507 of the family's 1533-position model. The record is from RNAcentral.